This 152-nucleotide non-coding RNA is filed under the name Tryblionella compressa. Lineage: Eukaryota; Bacillariophyta; Bacillariophyceae; Bacillariales; Bacillariaceae. The record is from RNAcentral.
CAAGAUGACAGAACAAGCCUCAAAAAAGAAAAGUAGAUUCCCAAUGAUAGACACAGUAUUUGUCGUGAUUCUUGUUUGUUUUCUUUAUUUGUCGUUCCAUUGAUGACUACACUUGACACACUUAUAAAAAAUAGACAUGGGUUCGUCUGCGG